GACGAACGCUGGCGGCGUGCUUAACACAUGCAAGUCGAACGGAAAGGCCCUGCUUUUGUGGGUUUCUCGUUUGCCGAACGGGUGAGUAACACGUGAGUAACCUGCCCUUGACUUUGUGAUAACUUCAGGAAACUGGGGCUAAUACCGCAUAGGAUCUCCUGCUGCAUGUUGUGGGUUGGAAAGUUUCGGCGGUUGGGGAUGGACUCGCGGCUUAUCCGCUUGUUGGUGGGGUAGUGGCUUUCCAAGGCUUUGACGGGUAGCCGGCCUGAGAGGGUGACCGGCCACAUUGGGACUGAGAUACGGACCAGAAUCCUACGGGAGGCAGCAGUGGGGAAUAUUGCACAAUGGGCGGAAGCCUGAUGCAGCAACGCCGCGUGCGGGAUGACGGCCUUCGGGUUGUAAACCGCUUUCGCCUGUGACGAAGCGUGAGUGACGGUAAUGGGUAAAGAAGCACCGGCUAACUACGUG
RNAcentral lists this ribosomal RNA (468 nucleotides) under uncultured bacterium. Its description in RNAcentral is "partial 16S ribosomal RNA". It matches the Rfam family "Bacterial small subunit ribosomal RNA", at positions 28 to 507 of the family's 1533-position model. The record is from RNAcentral.